Molecule: small nucleolar RNA, 81 nt
Filed under: Erythranthe guttata (spotted monkey flower)
Lineage: Eukaryota; Viridiplantae; Streptophyta; Magnoliopsida; Lamiales; Phrymaceae
Description: Mimulus guttatus (spotted monkey flower) Small nucleolar RNA U30
Rfam family: Small nucleolar RNA U30
Source: Rfam by way of RNAcentral
CGCGAUGAUGAGAUAAAGAAAUAAUCUCGUUAAUCUGAUAAUUAAUGAGGAAACCUAUCUAUCCAUUCAUAUUUCCUGAGC